Molecule: ribosomal RNA, 294 nt
Filed under: uncultured bacterium
Lineage: Bacteria
Description: partial 16S ribosomal RNA
Rfam family: Bacterial small subunit ribosomal RNA
Source: RNAcentral
AGCGAACGCUGGCGGCAGGCUUAAUACAUGCAAGUCGAGCGCCCGUAGCAAUACGGGAGCGGCAGACGGGUGAGUAACACGUGGGAACAUGCCCUUCGGUUCGGAAUAACUCAGGGAAACUUGAGCUAAUACCGGAUACGCCUUACGGGAAGAUUUAUCGCCGAGGAUUGGCCCGCGUCCGAUUAGCUAGUUGGUGAGGUAAUGGCUCACCAAGGCGACGAUCGGUAGCUGGUCNGAGGAGGAUGAUCAGCCACCACUGGGACUGAGACACGGCCCAGACUCCUACGGGAGGCA